GAUGAACGCUGGCGGCGUGCCUAAUACAUGCAAGUCGAGCGAACAGACGAGGAGCUUGCUCCUCUGACGUUAGCGGCGGACGGGUGAGUAACACGUGUAUCACCUACCUAUCAGACUGGGAUCACUUCGGGAAACCGGAGCUAAUACCGGAUAAUAUAUUGAACCGCAUGGUUCAAUAGUAAAAGACGGUUUUGCUGUCACUUAUAGCUGGAUCCGCGCUGCAUUAGCUAGUUGGUAAGGUAACGGCUUACCAAGGCGACGAUGCGUAGCCGACCUGAGAGGGUGAUCGGCCACACUGGAACUGAGACACGGUCCAGACUCCUACGAGAGGCAGCAGUAGGGAAUCUUCCGCAAUGGGCGAAAGCCUGACGGAGCAACGCCGCGUGAGUGAUGAAGGUCUUCGGAUCGUAAAACUCUGUUAUUAGGGAAGAACAAAUGUGUAAGUAACUAUGCACGUCUUGACGGUACCUAAUCAGAAAGCCACGGCUAACUACGUG
This 497-nucleotide ribosomal RNA is filed under the name uncultured bacterium. Its description in RNAcentral is "partial 16S ribosomal RNA". It matches the Rfam family "Bacterial small subunit ribosomal RNA", at positions 28 to 507 of the family's 1533-position model. The record is from RNAcentral.